GCGUCGUCCGAUCAUUCUUGGAUAUCUGCUGGCAAUCCAUUUUGGAUUUUGCCAUGCACAGUGCAACUUCUGUUCAUCGGACACAAAGAAAGCAUGUGUUUCCAAAACCCAAUACCAAAACUGCACUACGGAUAAUAAGCCUACAGGACCGAUCUAUACCUGUCCCAAUAACACUUACUGCUCCUUUUCCAAUGAAGUGUGCUCUGCAAACACGGCUCUGACUGCCUGCGCAGAAUGCAAUCAGUGUGGAGUUUUUUUCGCAUGUACGGGAAUCAGUAGUUUCGCGCCAUGUUUUCAAGGAGCCGUGAUCACCAAUCAGACAUAUAACUGCAGUCCAGGAGAGGUGUGCAGUAAAAGCCUAACACUUGCUUGUGGCUCAUCUGCGUCAGGUGCAGUGCCCUCCUGUUCAUACUACGAUAAUGUUGCAGAAAUAGAAAGCUAUUGCCAAAUCAAGGCCUCAGCCGGCCGCGUUCCAUAUCCCAAUGAUCCCACUUGUUCUAGAUAUAUCAACUGUUUCUAUAAAGGUUCUGCUUGGAAUGGAACUGUCUGGAAUUGUCCUGCAACUAAACCUUAUUUCAGUUCUAGUACCCUUAUUUGCAGUGCCUCAAAACCAACAAAUUGCACUUAAUUUUAAAACGAUUUACAAUUUGUAAAUAACUUACACCUUGGUGUGAAUAUCAAAUAUACUUUGAUAUUCUUUACAUAAAA
RNA transcript from Drosophila bipectinata, 708 nucleotides. RefSeq lists it as uncharacterized. The record is from RefSeq and is a predicted model, not a curated record. NCBI's taxonomy places the organism in Eukaryota, Metazoa, Arthropoda, Insecta, Diptera, Drosophilidae.